GACGAACGCUGGCGGCGUGCUUAACACAUGCAAGUCGAACGGACAGGCCCGGCUUUUGUGGGGUGCUCGAGUGGCGAACGGGUGAGUAACACGCGAGUAACCUCCCCUUGACUGUGGGAUAACUUCAGGAAACUGGGGCGAAUACCGGAUAGGAGCUCCUGCUGCAUGGUGGGGGAUGGAAAGUGUCGGCGGUGGGGGCUGGACUCGCGGCUUAUCAGCUUGUUGGGGGGGUAGUGGCUUACCAGGGCUUUGACGGGUAGCCGGCCUGAGAGGGUGACCGGCCACAUUGGGACUGAGAUACGGCCCAGACUCCUACGGGCGGCAGCAGUGGGGAAUCUUGCACAAUGGGCGGAAGCCUGAUGCAGCAACGCCGCGUGCGGGAUGACGGCCUUCGGGUUGUAAACCGCUUUCGCCUGUGACGAAGCGUGAGUGACGGUAAUGGGUAAAGAAGCACCGGCUAACUACGUG
This 468-nucleotide ribosomal RNA is filed under the name uncultured bacterium. Its description in RNAcentral is "partial 16S ribosomal RNA". It matches the Rfam family "Bacterial small subunit ribosomal RNA", at positions 28 to 507 of the family's 1533-position model. The record is from RNAcentral.